This 72-nucleotide transfer RNA is filed under the name Bacteroidia bacterium. RNAcentral describes it as "tRNA-Gln". It matches the Rfam family "tRNA". Rfam says of the family: Transfer RNA (tRNA) molecules are approximately 80 nucleotides in length. Their secondary structure includes four short double-helical elements and three loops (D, anti-codon, and T loops). Further hydrogen bonds mediate the characteristic L-shaped molecular structure. tRNAs have two regions of fundamental functional importance: the anti-codon, which is responsible for specific mRNA codon recognition, and the 3' end, to which the tRNAs corresponding amino acid is attached (by aminoacyl-tRNA synthetases). tRNAs cope with the degeneracy of the genetic code in two manners: having more than one tRNA (with a specific anti-codon) for a particular amino acid; and 'wobble' base-pairing, i.e. permitting non-standard base-pairing at the 3rd anti-codon position. Lineage: Bacteria; Pseudomonadati; Bacteroidota; Bacteroidia. The record is from RNAcentral.
UGUCGGAUCGUCUAAUUGGCAGGACGUCAGAGUUUGAAUCUGAGAAUAGUGGUUCGAACCCAUUUCCGACAA